GAUGGAAAGCACUUUGAAAAGAGGGUGAAAAGCACCUGAAACCGCCAUGGGGGAAGCGGAUUGCAUCAGUGUUUGCUUGUAUCUGUUCAGCUAUCAAAAUGGUAGUGUAUUCAGUACUUGCUGUGUUGGCAUGGCUGCUUUGGCUUUGGAUUAUGCAAGGCUAAGUGGUGAGGGCUCCUUUCUAGUUGAGGAUGUCAACAAAAUGAUGCGACCCGACCCGUCUUGAAACACGGACCAAGGAGUCUAGCACUACUGCAAGUCGAAGGGUUUAAAAACUCAUGGGCGAAGUGAAAGCGAAUAUUAGGAGAUCUGAAACAGAUUAGGGAGGUGUUGCGACUUUGUCAAAAUAUCCUACCCAGAGCAGUUGUGCUGGGACCCGAAAGAUGGUGAACUAUGCCGGAAUAGGGCAAAGCCAGAGGAAACUCUGGUGGAGGCUCGUAGCGAUGCUGACGUGCAAAUCGCUCGUCGAAUUUGGGUAUAGGGGCGAAAGACUAAUCGAACCAUCUAGUAGCUGGUUCCCUCCGAAGUUUCUCUCAGGAUAGCGGGCCGACGAUGUGGGUUGUUUUGUGU
This 570-nucleotide ribosomal RNA is filed under the name Corallina vancouveriensis. RNAcentral describes it as "eukaryotic LSU rRNA". It matches the Rfam family "Eukaryotic large subunit ribosomal RNA", at positions 363 to 1009 of the family's 3401-position model. Lineage: Eukaryota; Rhodophyta; Florideophyceae; Corallinales; Corallinaceae. The record is from RNAcentral.